GCAAAUCGUUCGUCUGACUUGGGU
This 24-nucleotide non-coding RNA is filed under the name Arabidopsis thaliana (thale cress). RNAcentral also lists the same sequence under 1 other name. Lineage: Eukaryota; Viridiplantae; Streptophyta; Magnoliopsida; Brassicales; Brassicaceae. The record is from RNAcentral.